AAGCGAUGCCCCCUCUAACUGAGCCUUGCCGCGUUUAUUGUGGUCAAAGUCUGCAACUUCCUGUUCUUUCUCUCCUUAAGGGCAAAUCACCAGGAUUUUCAGCUGAGAAAUUUAAGAAUAAUUGAACCUAACGAGGUGACACACUCAGGAGACACAGGUGUGGAAACAGACAGCAGAAUGCCUCCGAAGGUGACUUCAGAGCUGCUUCGGCAGCUGAGACAAGCCAUGAGGAACUCUGAGUAUGUGACUGAACCGAUCCAGGCCUACAUCAUCCCAUCGGGGGAUGCUCAUCAGAGUGAGUAUAUUGCUCCAUGUGACUGUCGGCGGGCUUUUGUCUCUGGAUUCGAUGGCUCUGCGGGCACAGCCAUCAUCACAGAAGAGCAUGCAGCCAUGUGGACUGACGGGCGCUACUUUCUCCAGGCUGCCAAGCAAAUGGACAGCAAUUGGACACUUAUGAAGAUGGGUCUGAAGGACACACCAACUCAGGAAGACUGGCUGGUGAGUGUGCUUCCUGAAGGAUCCAGGGUUGGUGUGGACCCCUUGAUCAUUCCUACAGGUAAGUG
This 563-nucleotide small RNA is filed under the name Pongo abelii (Sumatran orangutan). Its description in RNAcentral is "retained intron". The record is from RNAcentral. Lineage: Eukaryota; Metazoa; Chordata; Mammalia; Primates; Hominidae.